Molecule: long non-coding RNA, 378 nt
Organism: Lytechinus variegatus (green sea urchin)
Lineage: Eukaryota; Metazoa; Echinodermata; Echinoidea; Temnopleuroida; Toxopneustidae
Exons: 3
Source: RefSeq, a predicted model, not a curated record
UUGAUUGUACGUACGCAUUGCAAAAUCACCGGCUGGCCGACUGAACUCGAAACAAAAAGACGCAAUUUAAUAAGUUUUCAAAAUCAAGUGAAACGUCUUUGACCGUCGUCAUCUCCCAAGAUUUUGUCACUCUCCAACCAUGCUGCAGAAUUACAGUAGAUAGCAAAAACUAGUUCAGAAACCUCUCUCAUGCCCCUUCCUUCGCAUCAUCGUAAACCCCAUUAAACUCAGGCAAAAUGCAAAAUUGUAGGAGAAGUCUAUCGUAUUGCAGUCAAGAUUUCAACAUAGAGGGCGACAUUUCCUUGCUUUCUGCACAGGUCAACAAAUUCUUCCAGAUUUGAGUCUUAAUGGAGUCAAAUUGGAAAGUUUUUGCUUUGU